RNAcentral lists this long non-coding RNA (521 nucleotides) under Cricetulus griseus (Chinese hamster). RNAcentral's name for it is "lncRNA (ENSCGRG00000024875.1)". Lineage: Eukaryota; Metazoa; Chordata; Mammalia; Rodentia; Cricetidae. The record is from RNAcentral.
UCCAGAUUAUUCCAUGGUAAUGCUACAAUGAGGCUGGAAAAUGUAAACAGAAACGGGCACCUCUUCUGGGGUAGUGCCAUGAAAAAUAACCUCCAUGGCCAGUUGGUUUCCUAACACUGUGUUUGCACCGUGAAUCUGUAGACACAAAGGGAUAUCCACACUUGCAUUUCUGUGUAGGUUAGUGAACCAGACAGUGGUGCUCCCACAGGCAUGGUCUGUGAACUUCCCUAUAGCCCCCAUGGCUGGAUGAGACAACAGGAAGCUCCAACAUGCCAGUCAUAAAAAUUCUCGCUGGCCAAAAAAAGCACAUCACGAUAAUCCAAGAAUUGAAUCAUCAACAGAGAGCAACAGCCUAAAUGGAACAAACUCUAUCAAGUCUUCAAAAGCACAUUUCAGAUGGAUCAUACAUUGUGACACUAACUUACCUGUCAAUCACUGUGGAAGACACAAUUUACAUAAUGUUGGGAUGAAUUGCUGAGCCAAGUAUUCAGACCACAGGAGGCAUACUUCUACUGUAUGUG